ACUCAAAUGAAUAGACGGGGGCCCGCACAAGCAGUGGAUUAUGUGGUUUAAUUCGAAGCAACGCGAAGAACCUUACCAGGUCUUGACAUCCCAUGCAUAUCCUAGAGAUAGGAGAAGCCCUUCGGGGCAUGGAGACAGGUGGUGCAUGGUUGUCGUCAGCUCGUGUCGUGAGAUGUUGGGUUAAGUCCCGCAACGAGCGCAACCCCUACGAUUAGUUGCUACGCAAGAGCACUCUAAUGGGACUGCCGUUGACAAAACGGAGGAAGGUGGGGACGACGUCAAAUCAUCAUGCCCCUUAUGACCUGGGCUACACACGUAAUACAAUGGCGCUAUAACAGAGGGAAGCGAUCCCGCGAGGAGGAGCGAAACCCCAAAAAGCGUCUCAGUUCGGAUCGUAGGCUGCAACCCGCCUGCGUGAAGUCGGAAUUGCUAGUAAUCGUGGAUCAGCAUGCCACGGUGAAUACGUUCCCGGGCCUUGUACACACCGCCCGU
Molecule: ribosomal RNA, 492 nt
Filed under: uncultured bacterium
Lineage: Bacteria
Description: bacterial SSU rRNA
Rfam family: Bacterial small subunit ribosomal RNA
Source: RNAcentral